CUCAGGACGUCAGCUCGUUUCCAGGGGGGACGCCUGUUAGAGUUGCAUGAUUUUCAUGUUUCUUUGCAUGUGAAAUUUGUCCCACAGAGCUGGUUAAAUUAAUUUUCUUAGAACGAUAAUGUUAACUAGAUGCGAUUAUGCAUCCUCCAGAGCUUUCGGCGUAAUAAACGAGCAAAACUGGCAGCGCUCCACACAUCUGCCUCACCACAUGAAGAGAAUGGGCGUAUUGUUGUGGUGCGAAUGCGAAAAACAAUGUUGCGUUCUGUCUUCAUAAAUAUUUUACUGUUCGGCGAAGGCUUCUGGUCGAGCCCAUAGACAUGACUCACAACAGGCGAGUCACGUUCAUUUCCGCCCUUGCCUACUUCCUCUCCGAUUCCUGUCUCACUUAUUAUUCCUCUUCUCCAGUUCUGUCAUCAAGGCCCUGCUGCUGUUCUGGAGGAAAGCUUGCAUGGAGGACGUAGGUGGAAACAGCAGAACUCUUGGCAUUUCUGUUGACAUUUGCCAUAAUGUGACUGCAGAAAAUCUAAUAUGGAGUAUGGAGCAGCCAGAGAGAGGAAUGCACAGAGUCUGGACUGGGCGAUGGCUCAUGCCAGUUUCAGAGGGUGCUAAAACUUAUUGUCUGUGGAAUAACCACUUUAUCCUGGUCAGUGUUGAGGAUUCCCAGGAAUACAGCCUGAAUGGGACAUCAAUCCAAGGCAUGGGGUGAACAUGUGACCAGCACUACCCUGAGCUCAGGAUGGACCCGGGGACCCUGGAGCUGUGAGGCAACACCACCGUACCACUCUUGGAUUGUAAAUCUUAAAGGUCACAACACAGGCUAUGGAUAUUUUAUUAGGCGUAUCAGACGCUCGCUGGCCGUGCUGUGAAAAUUAUACAUGCAGACGCUCAUCUAAGUUUCCAAAUCUGUCAUUGCUUAACCCUUGAGUAUUUUCUAUGUUACGAACACCUCUACUUUUUUUGACUACGUUUUGGGUGGGAGAUCAUCCAAAGGAGCACGACAUGGAAUGUUUCUGUCCUCAAGGAAAAGGAUCAAAACCUUUCCCACAAGUAAUCUCAUCAUGACCAGAUGACUACAUGUGAAGCCAUCCUCAGCAGCAGCAAGUGAUUUUCAGCUGAUGAGAACUCCAGAUAGAAGUAGGGCAUGAGGACGGAUCAGGCAGGUCCAGAGAGCAGGAGGCGUCAGGAUCACUGAAUACACAAAACACAACGAUCCAAGAUGGCAGAUGAUCCAAGAUGGUGAUGCGCUAGGUCGCAGCGGCCAUACCUGUUCUCAACCAUGGUGCGAUUUUUGUACUUUUCUUGCAGAGACUGCAUCUUUAAGUUUAGAAUGUCAGUAGGAACAACUGGUUAACACUUCGACAACUGUCAACAGCUUUUGGAUAUAGGAAAACACAACCAGAUGGAGACACGCUGGAGAAAUUACGCUGCACAGGCAUUUUAAGGACUCUGUGUGGCCAUCCCGUGGCAUCACCUAGGUUCCGCGCCCACCCGGAAGUUCAGCAAAAGCGGUGUGCAAAAAAACUGAAGCGCAGCAAGAUAUCUGGACCCCAUGCAAGGCUCAAGGCUAACCAGAGCCAGCCGGCACUCCCUUCUCUUCUCCUCUCCAACAUCCAUAGAUGAUAAACUGAACUGUUUAAGACUGCUUCUGACCUCCCGGAAAGAGAUAAAAUACUACUGUGCUCUCAUCUUCACCAAGACAUGGCUGUACGAAGGCAUCGCUGACUCCGUGAUUCAGCUAGACAGGCUUCCACGCCCGCCAACAGAAACGCUUCCUUGUUGGGUAAGAUGUGUGGCGGCUUGUGCAUUUACAUCAAUAGCAUCUGGUGUACGAAUGCAGCGGUGGUCUCUGUGCGUUGUUCAGCACUUGUAAAGGUUUUAGCAGUUAAAUCCAGACCUUUUUAUAUUCCCAGAAACCUCACUACAGUUGUUAUUGCUGUGUACAUCCUGCCUAGCAUUAAUGCUAAAGCUAGCGGUGCCCUGAGCGAAUUCUAUGGGAGAAUCAGUGAGCUUCAGACUGCUCAGGUCCUCGCUGAGGACUUCAACAAUGCAUCGCUCAAGUCAGUUCUCGCCCUAUUUUAUCGAAACAUUGACUUUGCUACAUGAGGGGAUAACAUACGAGAGCUUGUAUAUACAAACAUCCAGCACGCAUACAAGGCUGCACCCCUCCCCCACCUUGGACAAUCGGACCACAUCUCCGUACUUUGCACCCCCGCGUACAGACCCAUUAACAAACGAGUCAGACAGGCCAUGGGAGAGGUGAGAACCUGGCCACAAGGUUCUAUAUCUGCCCUACAAGACUGUUUUGACUGUAAAGACUAGAACAUAUUCAGGGAAGCGGUUACCUAUGAACAUUCAGUGGACCUGGACAGGAGUAUAUGGCCUCACUGACUGGCUACAUCAGCAAGUGCAUUGAGGAUGUCACUAUCUCCAAAACUUAUUUCCCAUGCAAGCCAUAAUUCCUGGUUCUCUGCAGCGCUACGCAACCUGGUGAAAAUCAGGGAUUCUGCUUUCAAGUACAAAGACAAGAGAGGCUUGCACUACAGCUAGGGCCAAACUGUCACGGGCCAUCAAAGAGGCAAAGCAUGCAUAUGCAGAGAAGAUUAAUGGUUAUUUCAUGGACUCAAAGGGCACUUGGCAGAUAUGGCAGGGCAUUCAAACCAUCAUAGACUACAAGCCAACAUGUCAGGCCUGCAGCAGUGAGCCCUCUCUGCCAGAUGUACUGAAUGACUACUUUGCACGUUUGGAGACACAAAACAGGGAACCAGCAAAGGCAGCGACCCCCUUCCCCAAUGACCAGGUACUCUGUCUUUCUGCUGCUGAUGCCAGGAAGAUUCUUUGCAGAGUCAGCCCAUGAAAAGAAGCAGGCCCUGACAAACAUACCUGGCCGGGUGCUCAGGGAAUGUGCUGAUGAGCUUGCAGACAGCUUCACAGAUAACACAUACCUGAGCACAGCUGUGGUACCUUCAUACCUCAAAACCACAAAAAUCAUCCCAGUGCCAAAGAAAUCUACCAUGUCCUGUCUCAACAACUACCAGCCUGUAGCAGUCAUGCCAUCAUCAUGAAGUGCUUCAAGAGGCUGGUAUUGAGGCUCAAGAAAACGUGACUGCCACAUGAAUCAGAACCCCUACAGUUUGCUUAUUGCUGAAACCGUAUCUCCGAUGACGCCAUUUCAGCUGCCCUCCAUUUGACCCUCUUGCACUUGGACAAAAAGGACAGUUGCGUCAGAAUGCUGUUUACUGACUUGAGUUCAGCAUUCAACACGGUCAUCCCACAGUAGCUGGUACAGAACUUGGACCUGCUGAGCACAAAGACCUCGCUUUGUAAUUGGAUCCUAGACUUCCUGACUGGCAGGCCUCAGUCGGUCUCUAGAGGACACAACACCUCUGGGGUCCUCAGACUGAGCACAGCCCCCCCACCAUGGCUGUGUUCUCAGCCUGCUACUGUUUACUCUGCUGAUGCGCAACUGUGCUUCCCAGCACAGCUCAAAUUACAUCAUGCUUGCAGAUGACACAACCGUAGUGGGUCUCAUCAGUAGUCCACCAAAAGAAGGUCAGGAUGUAAUUCCAAUGGUGUAGCUACCACAGUCCCACCAAAAGGCUCAUGAAAAUAAGUCCCACACUGCCUGCACAGCUGCUGCCGGGCAACAUCGCUCCAAACACCGCGCCAUGGAUCCACAAAGCGAGCACAGAAGCACCGCCACGCAGAGCGCUGGUAUGUCCACCUGUACAGCCGCUGUGACACUACCAAGCAACAUCACUUGGAACAUCGUACCAAGCACAAAAGCACCACCGCACAGAGCACUGGAAAACCACGAUGUUGAAAGAGCAAUGCGCUCACUGCAUUCCAUAGCGAGGCGCACAGGCAUCACUCACGGCGGACCGAGGCCUGGAGGGAACUGAUGCCCAAAACUGGGUCUGGAGUUACAUCACAACUGGUGGACAAAACACUCAAACAAAAACCAAACAUCAAACUACACAAACACACACAAAACCAAAAGGGAAAAUAAAAUAAAAUAAUCAAAAGCUCCAGCCCUGUGAUGACCUGGUGACUUGUCCAGGGUGUAUCCCUCCUCUCGUACAUAGUCAGCUGGGAUAGACUCCAGCUUGCCUGCAACCCUGUAGAACAGGAUAAAGCGGCUACAGAUAAUGGAUGGAUGGAUGGAUGGAAAAGCUCCGGUGAGAAGCAGUAGUCAGAAUGCGCACGGUGUACUCUCAACUGGAAAUGGAAAACAUUAUUUAUAUACCUUAUUUUAUAAUCUUUUUUUUUUUUAACUAUAAAUGCACCAUGGGCAGCCUGAGGGAAACGGUAUUUCAGUGCACUGUGUAUUUGUAUAUGAACAUAUUGACAAUAAAGCUCUAUUGAAUCUUGAACACGA
Neoarius graeffei (lesser salmon catfish) is the source of this 4375-nucleotide long non-coding RNA. RefSeq lists it as uncharacterized. The transcript has 7 exons. The record is from RefSeq and is a predicted model, not a curated record. Lineage: Eukaryota; Metazoa; Chordata; Actinopteri; Siluriformes; Ariidae.